This 849-nucleotide ribosomal RNA is filed under the name uncultured bacterium. RNAcentral's name for it is "bacterial SSU rRNA". It matches the Rfam family "Bacterial small subunit ribosomal RNA", at positions 10 to 858 of the family's 1533-position model. The record is from RNAcentral.
AGUUUGAUCCUGGCUCAGGAUGAACGCUAGCGGCAGGCUUAACACAUGCAAGUCGAGGGGCAGCAUGUCCAGCAAUGGAUGAUGGCGACCGGCGGAAGGGUGCGUAACGCGUGAGCAACAUGCCCUAUACAGGGAGAUACACCAGGAAAACUUGGUCUAAUAUCCCAUAGCAUUCAUUGAAGGCAUCUUUAAUGAAUUAAAGCUUCGGUGGUAUAGGAUUGGCUCGCGUGACAUUAGCCAGAUGGUGAGGUAACGGCUCACCAUAGCAAUGAUGUCUAGGGGUUUUGAGAGGAAGGCCCCCCACACUGGGACUGAGACACGGCCCAGACUCCUACGGGAGGCAGCAGUGAGGAAUAUUGGACAAUGGAUGGAAAUCUGAUCCAGCCAUGCCGCGUGCAGGAAGACGGCCUUAUGGGUUGUAAACUGCUUUUAUACGGGAGCAAUAAGGGUUACGAGUAAUCCGAUGAGAGUACUGUAUGAAUAAGGAUCGGCUAACUCCGUGCCAGCAGCCGCGGUAAUACGGAGGAUCCGAGCGUUAUCCGGAAUUAUUGGGUUUAAAGGGUGCGUAGGCGGCCAUUUAAGUCAGCGGUGAAAUUUUGCAGCUUAACUGUAACAGUGCCGUUGAUACUGUUUGGCUAGGAUUUGGUUGUAGUAUGCGGAAUGUGUGGUGUAGCGGUGAAAUGCUUAGAUAUCACACAGAACACCGAUUGCGAAGGCAGCACACUAAGUCAUUAUUGACGCUGAGGCACGAAAGUGUGGGGAUCAAACAGGAUUAGAUACCCUGGUAGUCCACACUGUAAACGAUGAUAACUCGCUGUCGGCGAUACACAGUCGGGGCCAAGCGAAAGC